AUUGAACGCUGGCGGCAGGCCUAACACAUGCAAGUCGAACGCGUGGCGGACGGGUGAGUAAUGUCUGGGACACUGCCUGAUGGAGGGGUAUCACCACUGGAAACGGUAGCUAACACCGUAUUCUAUCAGAUGUGCCAAGAUGGGAUUAUCUAGUUGGUGGGGUAACGGCUCACCAAGGCGACGAUCCCUAGCUGGUCUGAGAGGAUGACCAGCCACACUGGAACUGAGACACGGUCCAGACUCCUACGGGAGGCAGCAGUGGGGAAUAUUGCACAAUGGGCGCAAGCCUGAUGCAGCCAUGCCGCGUGUAUGAAGAAGGCCUUCGGGUUGUAAAGUACUUUCAGCCGGGAGGCGUUACCCGCAGAAGAAGCACCGGCUAACUCCGUGCCAGCAGCCGCGGUAAUUC
Molecule: ribosomal RNA, 406 nt
Filed under: uncultured bacterium
Lineage: Bacteria
Description: partial 16S ribosomal RNA
Rfam family: Bacterial small subunit ribosomal RNA
Source: RNAcentral